This 447-nucleotide ribosomal RNA is filed under the name uncultured bacterium. Its description in RNAcentral is "bacterial SSU rRNA". It matches the Rfam family "Bacterial small subunit ribosomal RNA", at positions 330 to 794 of the family's 1533-position model. The record is from RNAcentral.
UCCAGACUCCUACGGGAGGCAGCAGUAGGGAAUUUUGCGCAAUGGGCGAAAGCCUGACGCAGCAACACCGCGUGAAUGUUAAGCCCUUCGGGGUGUAAAGUUCUGUCAAUAGGGACGAAUUUUGACUGUACCUAUAAAGGAAGCACCGGCUAACUCCGUGCCAGCAGCCGCGGUAAUACGGGGGGUGCAAGCGUUGUCCGGAAUUACUGGGUGUAAAGGGAGCGUAGGCGGGAAGCCAAGUCAGCUGUGAAAACUACGGGCUUAACCUGUAGACUGCAGUUGAAACUGGCUUUCUUGAGUGAAGUAGAGGUUGGCGGAAUUCCGAGUGUAGCGGUGAAAUGCGUAGAUAUUCGGAGGAACACCGGUGGCGAAGGCGGCCAACUGGGCUUUAACUGACGCUGAGGCUCGAAAGUGUGGGGAGCAAACAGGAUUAGAUACCCUAGUAAU